RNAcentral lists this ribosomal RNA (254 nucleotides) under uncultured bacterium. RNAcentral's name for it is "partial 16S ribosomal RNA". It matches the Rfam family "Bacterial small subunit ribosomal RNA", at positions 524 to 776 of the family's 1533-position model. The record is from RNAcentral.
UACAGAGGGGGCAAGCGUUGUUCGGAAUUACUGGGCGUAAAGGGCGCGUAGGCGGCCAGCACAAGUCAGUUGUGAAAUCUCCGAGCUUAACUCGGAAAGGUCAACUGAUACUGUGCGGCUAGAGUGCGGAAGGGGCAACUGGAAUUCUUGGUGUAGCGGUGAAAUGCGUAGAUAUCAAGAGGAACACCUGCGGCGAAGGCGGGUUGCUGGGCCGACACUGACGCUGAUGCGCGAAAGCCAGGGGAGCGAACGGG